This is a long non-coding RNA of Rhododendron vialii, 2137 nucleotides long. RefSeq lists it as uncharacterized. The record is from RefSeq and is a predicted model, not a curated record. Lineage: Eukaryota; Viridiplantae; Streptophyta; Magnoliopsida; Ericales; Ericaceae. The transcript is spliced from 2 exons.
CAUUAAUUGAGGGAUGCCAUUGUAAUUCAGUUUUAAAAAUUAAAUAAAGAUGGCAGUAGAAGUUGGUAAUAGGAGUAAUUUUCGGUGAAGUGUCCGAGAAUUUUCCUAAGACGGUGGUUUUCGUAUUUGUUUUUCUUGGAUCAACCUGUUCGGAUGAUGGCGGUUGGUGAACCAAAUUGGUACGACUGUGAAAUGAUCAGGAGACCCAAUUUCACAAGCAAACACAAACCAAAUCUUCUGUAACUUACAAGAUCGACAAGCUAGUAGCAGCCGCCAAAAUUGAACAACACACGGAGGAUUCAAGAUUCAAGAAUCAAUCGAGAGAGAGAGAGAGAGAGAGAGAGUUUUGGGUGUCUCCCAAUCGGACCCAAUACAAAGAAAUAAAAGAAUCAAAUUCACAAUGGUGUUCAACAGCGUGGUGGUAUUAUCAGUGGCGAACAUAUCAGCAGAUGCUUGGCAAUACUUGGCUUGCUUUCCGGAGCGGUUAAGCGGCCACCAGUUGCUGGAUCUGCUCUGUUGUUUCCCUCUCCAACACUUUGGGCGUUUCGCCCUCUGUCUUUGGACCUUCUUUUGCCUCCCUCCUUCCCCUCCUCUUUACUACCCUUCCUCCUCUUACUCCCACUUCGAUUCCGAUUCCUAUUCCUAUUCUGAUUCUUCUUCCCCCACCCCGUAUUACCACCACGACGACUACUAUCCGCAUUCGGAUUGAUCGGCCUGAUCCUCGAAUGUUAACUGUGGAGUACAUUUCAAUCCAAUUCUUGUUUGGCUUUUCCUUACUGAAAUUAAUGUGAAUGAAGUUCAUGACCUGAAGAUUAUAUGUGUUAAUAACAAUGUCAUGUACAGAUUUGUUGUUGAUUGUGUGAAUGAUUUUAAGAUACUGCUUAAUUCAUUGGAAUGACAGCUAUAAUGGCAAAUGGAAAAUGGGUAUGUGGUGAUCAUUGCAAAUGCUUUUGAAGCAAUGGAAAGUAAUGGUUAUCCCGGGGAUUACGGAGAAACAUAGCUGCGGUUAAGGUCAUAGAGAUCCAAGUUGUACACCUUCUGUUGACCUAGAAUGGUAACCAUGAACAACCACAUUGUCAGCCUACUCUUUCAAUAUGCAUAUUGACUUACGAACUAACUGCAUGACGCUAUGUAUUUUGUUUUCCAUAGCUUUGCAAGUGUUAUGAAGUUACAAGUCAUGUAUCUUGUAAACAUUGGCCAUUUGUGCAUGUAUCAGCCAUUGAAUUGCAAAAGUUUGUAACUGUAAUUUUAGCUUAGUUGAGUUCCACUGAAGUUUUCCUGUAGUUGAAGAGCGAGGCUCAAUCUAAAGCUUCAUCAUUAUGACCAACGUCAAGAAAGGUAAGACAAUCAUGCAUUCGAUUAGCUUAGCACGCUGACUGAUUUUAUCUAGUAUUUAUCGUGGUCGGGGUUUAGCUUGGUUGAAAGGAAGGUGUUCCUUUCAAGCAUUUCUAUGGUUGACGCUCGGCCGUAGUUACUUAUUCAACUUCUAUAAUCACUGAAUUUUCGGUUGCUUCUCCUAGAUAUUAAAGCAUAUGAGUCUUCAUGUUUCUUUCCACAGUGGUGACAAAGUAUUACCAUUACCUUGGUUGUGAAGCUAGUCUUUUUGGCUUCUAUCAAAGUGCUACGUUGGUUUGUUAGCAUCCUUCUUGGUGGUUUCAGUUUACUCGUUCAAUGCAUCUUUUUUUGGCUCAACUUAGACCCAAGAUUGCCUGACACAGUGGAGGGCUGCCUGUACAUGUACACUGCAAUUUUUCUUACUUUUUGGUGGCCUGGAAGAGGCAUAGAGGAUAUUAAAGUGGUUGUUGACCUAAGCACAUACAGGAUGUUGCUGUUCAGUUGCUUCUCAGAUCAAUCGGGGUGAAAGAAGUUCCUUUUUUAGCAUGAUCAAUUGGAGCAAAACCUGUUUGAAGAUCAAUUCUUUGUUUAAUGUUGCUGCCGAAUCUGACAAAGCGUUACAGCUGAUGUUUUUGAUGCUGAGAAAGUUGAUUUUUCUCAACAGAUUUUACGUUUAAGUCCAAGAGAAAGCGUCUUUCUUCAUUGCUUGCAGUCAGUAUCUACUUUAACGUUUAUCCAAUGCCUGUAAAUUGUUCUCACAGUAGAUGUCUUUAAGGAAACUCAGCCUUAUGAAGUGUUUCCA